Long non-coding RNA from Paramisgurnus dabryanus, 1043 nucleotides. RefSeq lists it as uncharacterized. NCBI's taxonomy places the organism in Eukaryota, Metazoa, Chordata, Actinopteri, Cypriniformes, Cobitidae. The record is from RefSeq and is a predicted model, not a curated record.
UUGGUUUUAUUUAUCUUAUCUGAAUAUCUGCUGUCACGCAUAACAUUCAUUAUUUGACCGUAUUUCAAAGAUAAACAAAAUCCAGUUACAACUCCGAACCGCUAGAUGGCAGAGUACACAAACACGAGGCCAAAUCUCACGAGAAAGAUUUCCGCUGUUUGAAAAGCAACAACAUCAGCGAGCAGCCACGAGGAAAGCAUGUACCACACUUGUUUGGUCUUGUGUCAAAGCUCUGCGAAACUGGAGGGAGAAACUUGAGAGACCAUGCCGGAAGAAUGCUGGACAGAGUUCACUAAAAUUCAUUAAUUUCAAAUUUCAACAUUAAUGGUGGUGGUCCACUGCAGAAGCAAGCAUUUGAAAAAAACAUCACUUCUCAGUUAUUAAAGAUGCUGUGUUGAACAACUUCCCAGCAGCAACAGAACUGGAAGUGAAGGAUGCAAUGGGGGCAUUUCAAACAGGCACCAGGGAGCACGGGGGGGGGGGUAUAGAAAUUAGUACAAUUAAUAAGUUGACGUGAACUGAAGAUAGUUUGUUAAUGUUUAGAUGUAAUUUCAUUUUUAAAAUUGUAUUUUGUUAUAUAUGCUUUUAUUUUGUUACUGUUUUUAUUAAUUUUGUCUUAUCUGAAUUUCUAUUGUAUUAACAAUAUUUUUUGUAAUAAAUUGCAUGUUUAUGAGAACCUUUUUAAUGGAUUAAAAAGAAUUCUUUAACCAUUCUUUUGUUCUUUAUUAGACACACACGUGUAGUCGUUUAAUAGCCGUCUAUUUAACGGCUAGUCUAUUCUUGGGCUAUGAUAGACGUCUACUAGAUUUUCACUGACAGCCCAAAAUUAGCCUUGUUUUAGCCUAGACCCACAUUCACCGUCUAUUAGACGUAUAUAUGUAGACGUUUAAUAGCCGUCUAUUUGAUGACUAGUCUAUUUCUUGGGCUAUGAUAGACGUCUACUAGAUUUUCACUGACAGCCCAAAAUUAGCCUUGUUUUAGCCUAGACGUCAGGGGGGUGUUUAGACGGCUACUAGACGUCUAUUAGCCGCAAAAUUGCUUGC